RNAcentral lists this small RNA (2256 nucleotides) under Pan troglodytes (chimpanzee). RNAcentral's name for it is "processed transcript". Lineage: Eukaryota; Metazoa; Chordata; Mammalia; Primates; Hominidae. The record is from RNAcentral.
AAUGCGCAUGCGCGAGGAGCGAGCCGCUUCUCCCCAUCACAGCGAUUCCCAGGGUUGUCGUAGAAACCACUCCCUGAGGCUUGGCAAAGCAGGAGCCCUCCGUGGCAGGGCUUCGGUGUCGGGGCUCCGAGGCUCUGGCCUGACUUCUCCAUGGGGUCCACAGGAGCGUCUCUGGAUGCCAGGACCUGAAAUGGGCCGACCAGGAUGACGAAACCACAGACAAGAGGCCGGGGAAGCAGCGCGGCAUCCCAUCCUCAGGCCUGCCCGGACGGUGUUCGGGAUCAAGAGGACCACAGUCCAGCCCAGGACAAAAGCCCCACGGUAGCACAUUGUCCGGCAGGAGAGGAGCAGACCCACGUCCAAGAAGAUGGUUGUACCUUUCCACGCCUCUUCUCUGCGAAAUGAAGCCACACCACGACACAAUCUUGAAGAGGAAGCCGGGAAUGGGAGACAGCAACAAUCCUUGUCCCUGGAACGCUGGCCUCUAUGGACAAGCCACCCGCUUCGCACCCCUCCCCUUAUGCCCGUGGCGGUGGCACGGCGCCGUAUCCUGCCUGGGCUCUGGCCUCUGCUCUGUCCUCCCUCUUCCUCUGUCUCCCCUGUUUCUCAGCGGCCUAGAUGCCUCUUGGUCUGGCUGAAUAUCUUCUAUGAAGAUCACUUCCCCGUCCAUCAGGGAGACAAUUCCUGGAGAUUCGUGUCAUGACUGUUUCUCUCUCCAAACCUGUUUCUGCUGGAUUGGGCAGGUCUGAUGACCCUGGAGCUCUUGGCUACCAUACGUGUCUCAGACAGAAUCAUCUCCCCUGCCCCACAAACAUGAAAGAAAAGACAAGAGAAGCACCCCAGAAGAGGAGGGGAGAAGUGCCCCAGAAAAAAUCAUCCAGUCUCUGAAGCUUUGCCCAGGAUCCAUUGCUGCAGCUUCCUGAAGUUGUGUCCGUUAAAAGGCAGGGACCCGGUGUCCAGGCUACAGAGGGUGACUCCAGGUUCCACACCACCACUGUGGACCAGUGUGCCUAUGGACUUAGGAGAGUUCCCAGCUCACACAAGGGGGCUGCCCCAGAGGGUGUUCAGCUUGUUGCCAACAGUUGCUGAAGCCAAAGUCUGCAACCUUGAUGUUCAGGUCAAGCAGCCAGAAACAGGUGUUCUGGCUUUAGGUCCCUGUGGACAAUGCCAUUCUCUCCUUCCCAGGCUACUGAUGUCCUGGGUUGCUCCUCUUAUGGUGGAAGCUCAAGAUGGAAUGGCUGGAGCUUGGCUGCCUCCGGUUAGAGCCUGGGCUCUGUAUUGCAGACGUCACCUGGCAGAAUUCCUCAUGGGCCCCUUUUGUCGUGGGUGCGACUGCUGGGCCAGGGUUGUCGUGGGUAGUAAAGGUAUUUACCAAGACAACUGUGAGUAAAGAAAGGCAAAUUUAUUACAGAAACUAUGAAAAUACAUUGCAAGAAUGCAGCAUGCAGCACAGCAGAGAAGGGGCUGUCUGCAAAGAUGAAGGACUGGAGGGAAGUUUUCUAAGGUUGUGCUGGACGGGGCUAUGUGCAGGUGAGCUUGUGCUAUAUGCUAAGAUAUGUUGGAAUAAUUUUAACUGCCAGACCUUUCCUCUUCUGGUGCCCGAGGGAAACGCCCUGCUGCUUUUAGCUGUCUUGUAACCCACACGCCUUUUCACUUCUGAAGUUGCAAGAUAACGGCUGUGGUUUUUCACACAAAAGGGUUGCAGACUGUUAGGUCCCUGUUCCGCCAACCUGGCUCUUUCCCAGUUUCAGUUAACUUAGUGGUUUACUAGAGCCCCACACCUUUCUCUUUCAUAUGGCCAUGAUCCAGGAGGUAAUCCGUCACCUCUCCUCCGCUAGAGUGCUCCAUGGCCAGGGGUAAUCCUCACCUCUCCUCCGCUAGAGUGUUCCAUGGCCAGGCAGUGUUUCCUGGGUCCAGAGCACCUCAAACAAUUUCAGUGUUGUGGUGACUCAGGGCCUUCACCAUACAGACUUGACAGCAUAGUCUAGAAGCUGGAGGGGCUCUGUGACUCCAUUAAUGACAGUCACUGCCACGGUUUCCCCAGGCAGGAUGUGCCAGGAGAACUGCUCCAUGUUGGCUCAGCAGAAUGUUGUUAUAGGUAGCUCAAAAAGAGAGGGAACAGGGCUUCUCUAGAUUAUUUCAGGGAAUGAGCUAUUAUUUGAAUGUUAAUUUGACUAUUUUAUCAAUUAAAAAUGUAAGGCCCAAGAAACUUCAGUUAGGAAGAAUGAACAAAUUGAAUAAAUACUGUUAAACUUU